This 773-nucleotide ribosomal RNA is filed under the name uncultured bacterium. Its description in RNAcentral is "bacterial SSU rRNA". It matches the Rfam family "Bacterial small subunit ribosomal RNA", at positions 8 to 798 of the family's 1533-position model. The record is from RNAcentral.
AGAGUUUGAUCCUGGCUCAGGACGAACGCUGGCGGCGUGCUUAACACAUGCAAGUCGAACGGAAAGGCCCUUCGGGGUACUCGAGUGGCGAACGGGUGAGUAACACGUGGGUGAUCUGCCCUGCACUCUGGGAUAAGCCUGGGAAACUGGGUCUAAUACCGGAUAGGACCGCAUGCUUCAUGGUGUGUGGUGCAAAGCUUUUGCGGUGUGGGAUGAGCCCGCGGCCUAUCAGCUUGUUGGUGGGGUAAUGGCCUACCAAGGCGACGACGGGUAGCCGGCCUGAGAGGGUGACCGGCCACACUGGGACUGAGAUACGGCCCAGACUCCUACGGGAGGCAGCAGUGGGGAAUAUUGCACAAUGGGCGCAAGCCUGAUGCAGCGACGCCGCGUGAGGGAUGACGGCCUUCGGGUUGUAAACCUCUUUCAGUAGGGACGAAGCGAAAGUGACGGUACCUACAGAAGAAGGACCGGCCAACUACGUGCCAGCAGCCGCGGUAAUACGUAGGGUCCGAGCGUUGUCCGGAAUUACUGGGCGUAAAGCGAGUGUAGGUGGUUGUCAUAGUCAGGUGUGAAAGCCUUGAGCUCAACUCAAGAAAUGCACUUGAUACUGGGCGACUAGAGGACCGGAGAGGAUAGUGGAAUUCCCAGUGUAGUGGUGAAAUACGUAGAGAUUGGGAAGAACACCAGUGGCGAAGGCGGCUAUCUGGACGGUUUCUGACACUAAGACUCGAAAGCGUGGGGAGCAAACAGGAUUAGAUACCCCGGUAGUCCAA